Molecule: ribosomal RNA, 506 nt
Filed under: Haliotis rugosa pustulata
Lineage: Eukaryota; Metazoa; Mollusca; Gastropoda; Lepetellida; Haliotidae
Description: Haliotis pustulata partial 16S ribosomal RNA
Rfam family: Bacterial large subunit ribosomal RNA
Source: RNAcentral
GAGUCGGACCUGCCCGGUGACCUACGGGUUAAACGGCCGCGGUACACUGACCGUGCAAAGGUAGCACAAUCACUUGCCUUUUAAUUGGAGGCUGGUAUGAAUGGUUUGACGAGGGCUGAGCUGUCUCUUUUGGAAUAUUUAAAAAUUAACGUUUAGGUGAAAAGGCCUAAAUUAAGCUGAGGGACGAGAAGACCCUGUUGAGCUUUAGUGUUGAACAAAAAACUGUACUCCUAGAGAAGUGUAGAGAGUUGGGAUUUGUUUUUACAUCUUUAGUUGGGGUGACUAGGGAACAUAAGUAGCUUCUCUGUUUCGUUGUUUAUAAGAUUGGGUUGACUAACUAAUGAUCCAGCAGUGCUGAUUAUCGGAAAAAGUUACCACAGGGAUAACAGCGUAAUCUUCUUGGAGAGUUCACAUUGAAAAGAGGGUUUGCGACCUCGAUGUUGGAUUAAGGUGUCCUAAGGGUGUAGCAGCUCUUAUUUGGUUGUCUGUUCGACCAUUAAAACCUU